GGAGGGUGCUCAGUGGUAGAGUGCAUGUUUAGCAUUCAUGAGGUCCUGGGUUCAAUCCACAGUACCUCUG
This 70-nucleotide transfer RNA is filed under the name Camelus dromedarius (Arabian camel). It matches the Rfam family "tRNA". From Rfam's summary of the family: Transfer RNA (tRNA) molecules are approximately 80 nucleotides in length. Their secondary structure includes four short double-helical elements and three loops (D, anti-codon, and T loops). Further hydrogen bonds mediate the characteristic L-shaped molecular structure. tRNAs have two regions of fundamental functional importance: the anti-codon, which is responsible for specific mRNA codon recognition, and the 3' end, to which the tRNAs corresponding amino acid is attached (by aminoacyl-tRNA synthetases). tRNAs cope with the degeneracy of the genetic code in two manners: having more than one tRNA (with a specific anti-codon) for a particular amino acid; and 'wobble' base-pairing, i.e. permitting non-standard base-pairing at the 3rd anti-codon position. The record is from Rfam by way of RNAcentral. Lineage: Eukaryota; Metazoa; Chordata; Mammalia; Artiodactyla; Camelidae. RNAcentral also lists the same sequence under 1 other name.